CAAUAGCGUAUAUUAAAGUUGUUGCAGUUAAAAACGCUCGUAGUCGGAUUUCGGGGCGGGCCGACCGGUCUGCCGAUGGGUAUGCACUGGCCGGCGCGUCCUUCCACCCGGAGACCGCGCCUACUCUUAACUGAGCGGGCGCGGGAGACGGGUCUUUUACUUUGAAAAAAUCAGAGUGUUCAAGCAGGCAGUCGCUCUUGCAUGGAUUAGCAUGGGAUAAUGAAAUAGGACUUCGGUCUUAUUUUGUUGGUUUCUAGGACCGAAGUAAUGAUUAACAGGGACAGUUGGGGGCAUUCAUAUUCCAUUGUCAGAGGUGAAAUUCUUGGAUUAACGGAAGAUGAACUUCUGCGAAAGCAUCUGCCAAGGAUGUUUUCAUUGAUCAAGAACGAAAGUUAGGGGAUCGAAGACGAUCAGAUACCG
RNAcentral lists this ribosomal RNA (420 nucleotides) under uncultured eukaryote. RNAcentral's name for it is "bacterial SSU rRNA". It matches the Rfam family "Eukaryotic small subunit ribosomal RNA", at positions 592 to 1017 of the family's 1831-position model. The record is from RNAcentral.